RNAcentral lists this unclassified non-coding RNA (220 nucleotides) under uncultured Tomentella. RNAcentral's name for it is "sequence contains ITS2". The record is from RNAcentral. RNAcentral also lists the same sequence under 1 other name. Lineage: Eukaryota; Fungi; Basidiomycota; Agaricomycetes; Thelephorales; Thelephoraceae.
ACACCUCAACUCUCAUGGCUUGCCAUGAUGAGCUUGGACCUUGGGGGUCUUGCUGGCACAUGUUGGUCAGCUCCUCUCAAAUGAAUCAGCUUGCCGGUGUUUGGUGGCGUCACAUGUGUGAUAAAUAUCUAUGCUUGUGGCUUUCCACCAGGUAACCUUCAGCAAUGGAGGUUCGCCGGAGCUCAUAAAUGUCUCUCCUCAGUGAGGACAGAUUUUGACA